RNAcentral lists this ribosomal RNA (177 nucleotides) under Staphylococcus epidermidis. Its description in RNAcentral is "partial 16S ribosomal RNA". It matches the Rfam family "Bacterial small subunit ribosomal RNA", at positions 1364 to 1533 of the family's 1533-position model. Lineage: Bacteria; Bacillati; Bacillota; Bacilli; Caryophanales; Staphylococcaceae. The record is from RNAcentral.
GAAUACGUUCCCGGGUCUUGUACACACCGCCCGUCACACCACGAGAGUUUGUAACACCCGAAGCCGGUGGAGUAACCAUUUGGAGCUAGCCGUCGAAGGUGGGACAAAUGAUUGGGGUGAAGUCGUAACAAGGUAGCCGUAUCGGAAGGUGCGGCUGGAUCACCUCCUUUCUAAGGA